This 158-nucleotide small nuclear RNA is filed under the name Coturnix japonica (Japanese quail). RNAcentral's name for it is "U1 spliceosomal RNA (ENSCJPG00005013427.1)". Lineage: Eukaryota; Metazoa; Chordata; Aves; Galliformes; Phasianidae. The record is from RNAcentral.
CUACUUAAGUGGCAGGGAGGCAUCAUGGUCCUGAAGGUGAUUUCCAAGGUUGAGCCUCAUUCCUUGCAUUUCUGAUGACCUAACCACUGCAAAUCCUGUGAUUUAGGGAACUUAGCUUAAAAUUUGUGAUGUGAGAUACUGUAUAUGUAUAUUCUGUU